CUCCCGGAAACCAAAUGAGAGAGCAUGUUUUAACUUUUUGCGGUGCGAGAGAUGGAGGGACAAACAUUUUGGACCGUCCACUGCGAAACCCCAGGAUAUUCGAAAUCUCGUUUGCGUUUCCCGAGGAUAUUCCAAUCUCGUCUGCCUCUCGCUCUUAAUUCUCUCUCUCAACCAUUCGUGAUUUACAUCUCUCUCUCAACAUUCGUGAUUUAAAUCUCUCUCUCUCUCAACAUUCGCAACUUAUACGCCACUUGUACCGUGGUUCACAGGUGCCUCAUCCUUCCCUUCAAAACACUUACAGGCGCUUUACACUCUCUCACCAAAAAAUGAAAUCUUGAGAACCUUCUUUCCUAUGAUGGCCACUGCAAUCUCUUCUCUGGUCUCAAACACUUACAAACCUCAACCUUUGAACCUCUGUUACUCUAGCACUAACAUCAAUGCUAUUGCUAUUAAAGCAAGCAAUAGUUUUAUAGGGAGAAAGGGAAAGUUGAAUGGAGGGUCGGCAGGUUGUGGACAGAGAAUUGGGAGAGUGGGGGCACGGUGGAGAAGGGGAAAUGGGUCCUUUGCUAUGAAUAUGGCGAUAGUUUCCAAGUGGAGGAGGAAAGGGAUUUUCGGCGGCAGCAUCGAGCAGCAGCCCCAAUCCUCUGAUUCUGUGGCUGGGAUGUUGCCUCUGGUUGUUGCUGCCACCGCAGCUGGAGCUCUCCUUUACCCUGUUACCUUUUCAUGGGUAUCAAAAGAGUAUUACGCCCCUGCUCUUGGCGGGAUUAUGCUAUCCAUUGGCAUUCAGUUAUCUAUCAAUGAUUUUGCUCUUGCAUUUCAAAGACCUUUACCUCUGUCUAUUGGGUUUAUGGCGCAGUAUGUGCUUAAACCUAUGUUGGGCCUCAUGAUAGUAAGAGCAUUCCGAAUGCCUCCCAUAUUUGCUGCCGGUUUCAUCCUUACAUCCUGUGUAUGUGGUGCACAACUCUCGAGUUAUGCGAGUUUCUUGACCCAAGGAGACGUGGCUCUGAGCAUUCUCUUGACCAGUUGCACCACCAUAUCAUCAGUGCUUGUUACCCCGCUUCUUACCCGUCUGCUUAUAGGCUCUGUAGUGCCAGUUGAUGCAGUGGCCAUGUCCAAGUCGAUAUUGCAGGUUGUGCUUCUUCCAAUUACCUUAGGGCUUGUUCUAAAUACCUAUGCAAAGCCGGUUGUUAAUGCUAUUCGACCUUUCAUGCCAUUCCUUGCCAUGAUCUGCACUUCAUUGUGUAUUGGUAGCCCCCUUGCUAUUAACCGGAACCAGAUAUUGACCAUGGACGGCCUUCGCUUGCUUGCACCAGUACUAGUUUUUCAUACUUCAGCAUUCAUAGUGGGAUACUGGGUUUCCAAGCUGGAGUUUUUGAGGCAAGAGGAGAAUGUGUGUAGAACGAUAUCUCUAUGUACCGGAAUGCAAAGCUCGACGCUUGCUGGGCUCCUUGCCACUCAAUUUCUCGGCAGCAGCCAUGCAGUCCCAGCUGCUUGCUCAGUGGUUGCCAUGGCCAUUCUGGGUCUUAACCUUGCUUUUUAUUGGGGCAAUGGGUUUAGAAUACGAGACAUCCCCAACCAGCUUUCCUCUCAAAUCUGUCAUAUCUUGAAUAAGGGGGCAUAUUCCUGAAGGCCCACUAAAUAUUGAUGGAUCAUUUUCAUCUUCUUCAUGGCUGGUAAUGAACCCAUCAUCUAAUCAACUUCGAGGAAUUUUCUUAGGCAGCACACAGCACCAGGUUUCAUGAAAUUUGAACAGUGAACAUUUUAACACAAGGUCCAGGCGUUCCAUAACAUGGAAUUAAGUACAUCAGAUAUUUAUACAAACUUACUUGCACUACAAGAAGAUGAGAUAUACGGAAGGAUAGUUGAGAAAUGGCUUCACACAGUGCGGAUAAAUUGAUUAUGCCUAAUUGCAUUAUAUAUAUAUAUUUUUUUUGAAUGAUGCAGGGAGAGUAUUGGCAGGAAUGCUGCAUUGUAACUGGUGUAAAUGCAUCAUGUUUAUACCUGAAGAAACAAAACCAUGCCUCAUAUAAUUCAACCAUGCCGCAAAGGUGGAUGAUUAAUCCGACUGUCAGUGACAUGCGCACUCUGUGUAUUGUGUCUGCCUGUUGAGUUUGCUGUCACUAGUUGGUGCUUACGUGGAAAUGGAUUGCAUAUUUCUGUGAUGUUUCAUAUUAUGAUUCACUUCCAUGAAAGUCAUUUCUUGGAAGAGUUCUGACGCAUUGAACUCCCGAAAUGAAGUUUCUAAUUGGAAAAAAAAGAGAGGAAAGGGAAAGCAAGGAGAGGACUCUUAUUUCCAUGGAAAACCAUAGUAUAUAUGUGAUAACAUAAUGGUUCCAUAUAGAGUACCGAAAGUCAACUUGGCCAAGGUAUUUGGAGCUCGGCUGAGGAGAGUGACACAAGAGAAAUCUUUCCAAAUUUUAAAAAUGAAAAGACAAAGUAAGUACAUGCAUUGUUGUCUCUCUCUUUUAAACAUUAAGUGUCGGCGGGCUUACUGGUUGGGUUAGCUGCCCUUGUACACCUCUUUCUAGGGGAACCUUGAGAAAAAGGAUUGCAGAAAAAAGGGGGAAACAUCAAUUGGGGUGAUUCGGACCCCAGCCGCAAUGGGAAAUAUCCAUGUACUCUAUUCACAUGAACAUUCAAGCACGCUCGUCUUAAAAUCGACGCAAUAAUGUAUAUAAACUAUACAAGAACUGGUGUAGCAUGUUCGGGCAAAACUUGCCUCGCUCUUAGGGCGAGCCAAGUAACUCCGCUGUGUCCUGAUACACUGGUUGCACGCAUAGGUACUUAGCAGGUUUUUGUAGGUACAAUUUGUUGCAGUUGAAAAUGAUGAAUUGACAUUUUGAUGUUAUUAGUUACACUCAAGAGGUCAAUCGCUACUGUACCUUUGGGCUAGCGUGCUGGUGUGAGGUCAAUGUUCCCUGUGCCUUUUGGGUUACCGUGCUGGUGUGUCACCUGAAGGCCUUAAAAGAAGGCUCAACAAGGUAUAUUAGUUGCUGCAAUGAUCCCUGGCCUACAAGUACCAAGCUAAUUGUGCUGGUACAUGAACUUCUACUUCUUUAACAUUCUUAAAGCUGCUGGGUGAAAGAUAGAUAAGCUUAAGACAUUCCUAACUAGUUGAGAUCAAUCCACAAGAUAACUGAUGUAUGACCUGGAGCAUUACAGUUCAGAAUAAAAUUUUGUAUUAAGGUAUACCAUGAUGCACCCAAAGCUUGUGAAGAUCUCAGCGGUUGGUGGUCAACAACGGAUGGUUGUAUAAUACAUGCAGGAUACAACGAACCGUCAUACAUCCCUGAUUUAUGUAAACUCUCAAAUGACUUCUCAUGGUCUUAUCAUAUACGUCGAGUACAAUGUAGUGACUAAAAGUCCACUAGGAGAAGUGCUGAAUCUCUCCCCUCUGAAGACCAAUGGAUUCUCUUCGACGUAAAUAAAACUUUCCCCUGACUUUGUUGCCUAAGAUUUUUCACAAGGUAAUUAGAUCUCUGCUCCCGGCAAGUAUUAGUAUUCUGACUAGGGAAAAUACUUGGUUUGCCCCAAGGUGGGCUGCUGUAGCAUCCAUCCUUCCCAAAUAAAGAAGGAUGGAGGAUGUACAUAAAAAUACUCUAAAAAUAAGGCUCAAGGGGAUUUAAUUGACCUUAAAUUUUACAGAUUGCAUUGUUUCCACUGGACGGACAACUUAAAUAAAAAGGAAAACAAUGAUAUUGAUUCUUAAAGGGCUUGAUCUAACAUGAAAUUGAAAGUAUGUGUUCAUCGAGUUAAAAAGACCAUAUUCAAAGUGUUUUUUUUUUUCGAAAGUUGUUCAUGGGCUUCUUUAGCGGGGACCGAGAUGCGGUUAAAACGGGGGCAAAAACAUUGUCCGUGAGGCCACAAAAUGGGGAGAGGCAACCCGUCACGGUGGCGGCCAAUGAAUUUUCCCCUUCAAUUAACCAUUUAAAAAUCUGAUUAUUCUUUUGCCUUUGUUAGGAAUGGGCUCUAUUCUAAUUAGACAUGCAGAGAUCUUGUUACUUUCUACAUUCUAAGCACAAAA
Molecule: RNA transcript, 4024 nt
Organism: Amborella trichopoda
Lineage: Eukaryota; Viridiplantae; Streptophyta; Magnoliopsida; Amborellales; Amborellaceae
Gene name: Sodium Bile acid symporter family
Source: RefSeq, a predicted model, not a curated record